This 65-nucleotide ribosomal RNA is filed under the name Aphanophora eugeniae. RNAcentral's name for it is "partial 18S ribosomal RNA". Lineage: Eukaryota; Fungi; Ascomycota; Eurotiomycetes; Chaetothyriales; Chaetothyriaceae. The record is from RNAcentral.
AAAAAAACCUGUGGUCCCUUUGUUACUUGUCAACGUUCCGUAGGUGAACCUGCGGAAGGAUCAUU